Haliotis rubra (blacklip abalone) is the source of this 1476-nucleotide long non-coding RNA. RefSeq lists it as uncharacterized. The transcript has 10 exons. Lineage: Eukaryota; Metazoa; Mollusca; Gastropoda; Lepetellida; Haliotidae. The record is from RefSeq and is a predicted model, not a curated record.
CUGUUUUCAGCGGGAUAUUUGCAAUACUAGUAUCAGAUUUCGUGGCUCUCUGGGCUGGCGUGGUCAGCUGUUUUGACGUGAUGUCAUUUCGCGACAGCCGAUAAUAAUGUUGAUUAACGCUGUAUCGGAGCCGAUGCUGGACAGUGUGAAAACUGAAUCUCUCACUUGAGUGUCAGUGACAGGCAAUGUCAACACUGACAACAGCUACUAAACCAAUGACGUCCCAGAGAAGUGGAGUCUGUCUGGGGCCACCCACCCCCUGCCAGUGGGAAGGUUUGUUUACAGCUCUGGAAGGAGACAGGUCACUACAAAAAGCUGAGAUAUGGCUUAGGGAGAACAUGUCAACACUCUACGCAGAUCAUGUUCCAGCGCAAUGGCAAGUUCUGCUAGAAUUCCUGUCGGAUCAGGUUGUCUCAGGAAGCCGUGAGAAGUUUGUGCUAAGUUCUGUGUACAGUAGCCUGCCCCCUGAUCUUCAAAGGAACAUUGUAGCUGUCAUCUUCCAGCAUCGAGGGGACAUCAAAAUGGAGGUUCUCAGACAGUUUGUCCUGGAGGUGAAAGCUCCACACACCACCAUCUCCUGGACCACCCUGUUGUGGCGGCUGCUGGCUGAGCAUGUUGGUGUUACACCCACAGUGAAUCCCACCAUGGCACUUCUUGGACAAGAAGUGCCACCUGCUGGCGAUAUGUCACUGCUUCUAAAGAAUCUCCUGACAAGGUGGUGACCAAAACAGCAGGUGCUUGUGGUGCCGCUUGAGUCAGUGAAUGGAUUCAGAAUCCUGGCUUGGAAGGCGGAGAGGAGGAGAAAAAUGCUCUUGGUGGAGGAGAGGAGGAUCCAGACUUCAUAAUUAUCCUGGAUGAGGAUGAAGAUGGAUGUGAACCACCAACAGCCAAGAAAAUAAAAGUGAAGCUUUUGAAGAAAGGAAACCUGCAAUUCCUUGUGAUAAAGAGACAUGUGACUUUGACCAAGAACUUGUGGAUAACGGUAUUAGACUGCGGGAGAUUCUUCUGGGGUCUGCAGAUGACAGUGUAAGCAUUGAAGGGAGCUUGAACCAUUCUGCUUACACCACCCAACAAGCUCACAGCACUGUGUCGAAAGCAAGUGAGUUGACCAACCUACCAGACCAAGUCCUGGCCGUCGUGGGGAGGGUGCUGGUCAAGAUGGCCGAGGCGUGACAUACAGAUCUUGUGUGGCUCUGCUGGCUGGACUAGUCACCGAUAAGGUGAGGAGCCUGGAGCAGUCAGCAGCGAGGACACUGCAGGACACACUGAUCUCACUGGCCGAGACUUUCCCUCAUCAACUCCAUUGAUGCUAUAGUGGUUCCAUCUGUAGUACAGGAAUUAGGUGCAGCCCAGAGUGAGAUUCUUUGUCGCCUGUGUAAAGACUCUCUGUUGCCAAGCCAUCAUGCUUAUCUGCUCAGGAUGUUUGUCAGACAGACUGUGAUGCUUAGUGAGCCUUCACUUACCCUUCUUCAUAUU